GAUGAACGCUGGCGGCGUGCCUAAUACAUGCAAGUCGAGCGAACAGAUGAGGAGCUUGCUCCUCUGACGUUAGCGGCGGACGGGUGAGUAACACGUGGAUAACCUACCUAUAAGACUGGGAUAACUUCGGGAAACCGGAGCUAAUACCGGAUAAUAUAUUGAACCGCAUGGUUCAAUAGUGAAAGACGGUUUUGCUGUCACUUAUAGAUGGAUCCGCGCCGCAUUAGCUAGUUGGUAAGGUAACGGCUUACCAAGGCAACGAUGCGUAGCCGACCUGAGAGGGUGAUCGGCCACACUGGAACUGAGACACGGUCCAGACUCCUACGGGAGGCAGCAGUAGGGAAUCUUCCGCAAAGGGCGAAAGCCUGACGGAGCAACGCCGCGUGAGUGAUGAAGGUCUUCGGAUCGUAAAACUCUGUUAUUAGGGAAGAACAAAUGUGUAAGUAACUAUGCACGUCUUGACGGUACCUAAACAGAAAGCCACGGCUAACUACGUG
RNAcentral lists this ribosomal RNA (497 nucleotides) under uncultured bacterium. RNAcentral's name for it is "partial 16S ribosomal RNA". It matches the Rfam family "Bacterial small subunit ribosomal RNA", at positions 28 to 507 of the family's 1533-position model. The record is from RNAcentral.